AUAUGCUAGUAUGAUAAAUUAACGAUUUAAGUCCUUCUUAAAUGAGGCCAUUUACCCAUAGAGGGUGCCAGGCCCGUAUAACGUUAAUGAUUACUAGAAGAUAUUUCCAAAGAGUCGUGUUGCUUGAUAGUGCAGCACUAAGUGGGUGGUAAACUCCAUCUAAAACUAAAUAUUACCAUGAGACCGAUAGCAAACAAGUACCGUGAGGGAAAGUUGAAAAGAACUCUGAAUAGAGAGUUAAAUAGUACGUGAAACUGCUUAGAGGUUAAGCCCGAUGAACCUGAAUAUCCAUUAUGGAAAAUUCAUCAUUAUAAUUAUAAUAUUUUAAAAAUAUUAUAAGAAUAGUGUGCAUUUUUUCCAUAUAAGGACAUUGUAAUCUAUUAACAAAUAAAAAUUUAUCAAAAGAUCAUUCGCUUAAGUUUAUUCAAAUUAACUUAUAUACAUAUUUUAACAUUGAGUAAAUGCGGAUGAUUUGAUAAAGUGUUGAUAGAUUUAUUAUAUAUAACGUUAAAAUUAUAUACAUAAUUUUACAAUAAUAUAUUAAUCAUGAUUUUUAUAUUUAUUGUAUGCGUUUAUAUGAUUUACAAUGCGAAAGAUUCAGGAUACCUUCGGGACCCGUCUUGAAACACGGACCAAGGAGUCUAACAUAUGUGCAAGUAAUUGGGAAUAUAAAACCUAAUUGCGAAAUAAACAUAACUU
RNAcentral lists this ribosomal RNA (699 nucleotides) under Paratoxopoda similis. RNAcentral describes it as "eukaryotic LSU rRNA". It matches the Rfam family "Eukaryotic large subunit ribosomal RNA", at positions 158 to 731 of the family's 3401-position model. The record is from RNAcentral. Lineage: Eukaryota; Metazoa; Arthropoda; Insecta; Diptera; Sepsidae.